AGUGAACGCUGGCGGCAGGCCUAACACAUGCAAGUCGAGCGGCAGCGCGGGGGCAACCCUGGCGGCGAGCGGCGGACGGGUGAGGAAUUCGUCGGAAUCUGCCUUUUUGUGGGGGAUAACGUAGGGAAACUUACGCUAAUACCGCAUACGUCCUACGGGAGAAAGUGGGGGACCGCAAGGCCUCACGCAGAAAGAUGAGCCGACGACCGAUUAGCUAGUUGGUGGGGUAAAGGCCCACCAAGGCGACGAUCGGUAGCUGGUCUGAGAGGAUGAUCAGCCACACUGGGACUGAGACACGGCCCAGACUCCUACGGGAGGCAGCAGUGGGGAAUAUUGGACAAUGGGCGCAAGCCUAAUCCAGCCAUGCCGCGUGUGUGAAGAAGGCCUUCGGGUUGUAAAGCACUUUUGUCCGGAAAGAAAUCCCUGGAGCUAAUACCUUCGGGGGAUGACGGUACCGGAAGAAUAAGCACCGGCUAACUUCGUG
Molecule: ribosomal RNA, 484 nt
Filed under: uncultured bacterium
Lineage: Bacteria
Description: partial 16S ribosomal RNA
Rfam family: Bacterial small subunit ribosomal RNA
Source: RNAcentral